RNAcentral lists this ribosomal RNA (345 nucleotides) under Terribacillus saccharophilus. Its description in RNAcentral is "bacterial LSU rRNA". It matches the Rfam family "Bacterial large subunit ribosomal RNA", at positions 57 to 397 of the family's 2925-position model. The record is from RNAcentral. Lineage: Bacteria; Bacillati; Bacillota; Bacilli; Caryophanales; Bacillaceae.
CGGGACUAACACCGAUAUGCUUCGGGGAGCUGUAAGUAAGCUUUGAUCCGAAGAUUUCCGAAUGGGGGAACCCGCUAUCCGUUAUUGGAUAGUACGUAUUACUGAAUACAUAGGUAAUACGAGGCAGACCCGGGGAACUGAAACAUCUCAUUACCCGGAGGAAGAGAAAGCAAAUGCGAUUUCCUGAGUAGCGGCGAGCGAAACGGAAUUAGCCCAAACCAGAAGGCUUGCCUUCUGGGGUUGUAGGACACUCCUUUGGAGUUACAAAGAAACCAUAUAGACGAAGCGGCUUGGAAUGGCCCGCCAUAGAAGGUAAGAGCCCUGUACUUGAAUGUGGUUGCCUCC